AUGCCUUCUGGUCAGGAGAAUAUCAAACUGAAUAAAGAGAAUUAUCCACAGCUUGUCCUCGUUAUAAAAGAUAAAGAUGAUAAUCAAAGAGAGUGUCUAAAGAUAAUGAAGAACUUAACUCACGAGAAUGUACUUGGAGUGUAUUUCUGGGAAGAGGUUGAAAAUGAACCGUAUAUCCUAGUUCAUGUGGAGCCUUACACAGAAUCGGUUUCGAAGAUCGUUGCCAAUGCUAAAUUUCUUGUUGAGCGAAUGACAGAAUUGGUUCCAUCUCCAGCCUUUCAAGAAACAGUCGUUCUUUGGAGCAAUGCCAGUUGGAAGAUUAUAUCUCUCUGGGAGCCUCUCUUGAGUGGGCAUCUCAAAAGGAAAUCUCUGCAGACAAUGAAACUUCAGCUCAAAGAUCAUGAGUUCUUUUGGGACAGCAAUAUGAAGAAGAUUUUCUUUGCCUAUGAUGUCCCCCAAAUCUUCAAGAAUGAUGCAGUUAAGCAAAAAUUUCAGGAAUCUUCAUCUAUGCCGUCAUUACCAUGGACGACAUCAUGGAAACCUGGUGUGAUACCUGAUGAGCUUAUGAAACAUAUGUUGAUUUACCGCGGAGAGCAUGGACUUGCACCAUACGAUGCAUACAAUGUGGAAGAGUUUCUAAGAUUCAUUAGUGGGAUGUAUUCUCAUGAGAAUGAACUCAGGCAGAAGAUUCCUGGCCUCGUUCUUGAUGCUGUAGUUCAGGAGAUGUAUCCGUGUUUGUGGUAUGAUUUAAAAAAAGCCAUGCGAGAUGCCAAGGAAGAAGCUGAUAAUGCCAUGGCAGUGGACAAUUAA
This 810-nucleotide ribosomal RNA is filed under the name Triticum aestivum (bread wheat). RNAcentral's name for it is "partial small subunit ribosomal RNA". The record is from RNAcentral. Lineage: Eukaryota; Viridiplantae; Streptophyta; Magnoliopsida; Poales; Poaceae.